CACGUAGGCGGGAACUUAAGUCAGGUGUGAAAGACCGAGGCUCAACCUCGGGUGUGCACUUGAAACUGGGUUUCUUGAGGGCAGGAGAGGAAAGCAGAAUUCCUGGUGUAGCGGUGAAAUGCGUAGAAAUCAGGAGGAAUACCAGUGGCGAAGGCGGCUUUCUGGACUGACCCUGACGCUGAGGUGCGAAAGCGUGGGUAGCAAACAG
This 208-nucleotide ribosomal RNA is filed under the name uncultured Eubacteriales bacterium. Its description in RNAcentral is "uncultured Clostridiales bacterium partial 16S ribosomal RNA". It matches the Rfam family "Bacterial small subunit ribosomal RNA", at positions 568 to 775 of the family's 1533-position model. Lineage: Bacteria; Bacillati; Bacillota; Clostridia; Eubacteriales. The record is from RNAcentral.